GUAUGCUUCGAAUCAGAUGGUUCCCCAUGAGGGGAUGAAAAUGGGAACAGGGUACGGACGUGGAUCGAUCUCCCGUUCAAUGCCCUGGCUGCCCCCGCAACUGUAAGCGGAAAGUCCGCGCUUAUGUCGUGCCACUGGUCUCGUAUAGCGACUGGGAAGGCCAAGCGUAGGACGAUGACCCGCAAGCCAGGAGACCUGCCAUCGCUUGCAUCGUCUA
Molecule: non-coding RNA, 217 nt
Filed under: Thiohalocapsa sp. PB-PSB1
Lineage: Bacteria; Pseudomonadati; Pseudomonadota; Gammaproteobacteria; Chromatiales; Chromatiaceae
Also listed under: 1 other name
Source: RNAcentral